GACGAACCGUGCGAACGUUAUUCGGAUUCACUGGGCUUAAAGCGCGUGUAGGCGGCCCGGCACGUCCGUCGCUGAAAGCCCCCGGCUCAACCGGGGAAGUGGCGCGGAUACGACCGGGCUGGAGGCCGGUAGGGGGAACCGGAACUUCCGGUGGAGCGGUGAAAUGCGUUGAGAUCGGAAGGAACGCCCGUGGCGAAAGCGGGUUCCUGGACCGGACCUGACGCUGAGACGCGAAAGCCAGGGGA
RNAcentral lists this ribosomal RNA (245 nucleotides) under uncultured bacterium. RNAcentral's name for it is "partial 16S ribosomal RNA". It matches the Rfam family "Bacterial small subunit ribosomal RNA", at positions 524 to 767 of the family's 1533-position model. The record is from RNAcentral.